GGGCAUUUCGGCUUGUCUAUAAUGCAGUCGACGAACUCUGGUAUUGAUUGGUGCUUGCAUCAUGAUUUACAUUUGAGUGAGUGGCGAACUGGUGAGUAACACGUGGGAAACCUGCCCAGAAGCGGGGGAUAACACCUGGAAACAGAUGCUAAUACCGCAUAACAACUUGGACCGCAUGGUCCGAGCUUGAAAGAUGGCUUCGGCUAUCACUUUUGGAUGGUCCCGCGGCGUAUUAGCUAGAUGGUGGGGUAACGGCUCACCAUGGCAAUGAUACGUAGCCGACCUGAGAGGGUAAUCGGCCACAUUGGGACUGAGACACGGCCCAAACUCCUACGGGAGGCAGCAGUAGGGAAUCUUCCACAAUGGACGAAAGUCUGAUGGAGCAACGCCGCGUGAGUGAAGAAGGGUUUCGGCUCGUAAAACUCUGUUGUUAAAGAAGAACAUAUCUGAGAGUAACUGUUCAGGUAUUGACGGUAUUUAACCAGAAAGCCACGGCUAACUACGUGCCAGCAGCCGCGGUAAUACGUAGGUGGCAAGCGUUGUCCGGAUUUAUUGGGCGUAAAGCGAGCGCAGGCGGUUUUUUAAGUCUGAUGUGAAAGCCUUCGGCUCAACCGAAGAAGUGCAUCGGAAACUGGGAAACUUGAGUGCAGAAGAGGACAGUGGAACUCCAUGUGUAGCGGUGAAAUGCGUAGAUAUAUGGAAGAACACCAGUGGCGAAGGCGGCUGUCUGGUCUGUAACUGACGCUGAGGCUCGAAAGUAUGGGUAGCAAACAGGAUUAGAUACCCUGGUAGUCCAUACCGUAAACGAUGAAUGCUAAGUGUUGGAGGGUUUCCGCCCUUCAGUGCUGCAGCUAACGCAUUAAGCAUUCCGCCUGGGGAGUACGGCCGCAAGGCUGAAACUCAAAGGAAUUGACGGGGGCCCGCACAAGCGGUGGAGCAUGUGGUUUAAUUCGAAGCUACGCGAAGAACCUUACCAGGUCUUGACAUACUAUGCAAAUCUAAGAGAUUAGACGUUCCCUUCGGGGACAUGGAUACAGGUGGUGCAUGGUUGUCGUCAGCUCGUGUCGUGAGAUGUUGGGUUAAGUCCCGCAACGAGCGCAACCCUUAUUAUCAGUUGCCAGCAUUAAGUUGGGCACUCUGGUGAGACUGCCGGUGACAAACCGGAGGAAGGUGGGGAUGACGUCAAAUCAUCAUGCCCCUUAUGACCUGGGCUACACACGUGCUACAAUGGAUGGUACAACGAGUUGCGAACUCGCGAGAGUAAGCUAAUCUCUUAAAGCCAUUCUCAGUUCGGAUUGUAGGCUGCAACUCGCCUACAUGAAGUCGGAAUCGCUAGUAAUCGCGGAUCAGCAUGCCGCGGUGAAUACGUUCCCGGGCCUUGUACACACCGCCCGUCACACCAUGAGAGUUUGUAACACCCAAAGUCGGUGGGGUAACCUUUUAGGAACCAGCCGCCUAAGGUGGGACAGAUGAUUAGGGUGAAGUCGAAUCAAGAGCACCCC
RNAcentral lists this ribosomal RNA (1502 nucleotides) under Lactococcus lactis. Its description in RNAcentral is "bacterial SSU rRNA". It matches the Rfam family "Bacterial small subunit ribosomal RNA". RNAcentral also lists the same sequence under 1 other name. The record is from RNAcentral. Lineage: Bacteria; Bacillati; Bacillota; Bacilli; Lactobacillales; Streptococcaceae.